This 253-nucleotide ribosomal RNA is filed under the name uncultured bacterium. RNAcentral's name for it is "partial 16S ribosomal RNA". It matches the Rfam family "Bacterial small subunit ribosomal RNA", at positions 524 to 776 of the family's 1533-position model. The record is from RNAcentral.
UACGUAGGGGGCUAGCGUUGUCCGGAAUCAUUGGGCGUAAAGAGCGUGUAGGCGGCCCGGUAAGUCCGCUGUAAAAGUCAAAGGCUCAACCUUUGAAUGUCAGUGGAUACUGCCCGGGCUAGAGUCCGGAAGAGGCGAGUGGAACUCCUGGUGUAGCGGUGGAAUGCGCAGAUAUCAGGAAGAACACCAACGGCGAAGGCAGCUCGCUAGGACGGUACUGACGCUGAGACGCGAAAGCGUGGGAGCGAACAGG